AUUGAACGCUGGCGGCAUGCUUUACACAUGCAAGUCGAACGGCAGCGCGGGCUUCGGCCUGGCGGCGAGUGGCGAACGGGUGAGUAAUGCAUCGGAACGUGCCCAGUAGUGGGGGAUAGCCCGCCGAAAGCCGGAUUAAUACCGCAUACGACCUGAGGGUGAAAGCGGGGGACCGAAAGGCCUCGCGCUAUUGGAGCGGCCGAUGUCGGAUUAGCUAGUUGGUGGGGUAAAGGCUUACCAAGGCGACGAUCCGUAGCUGGUCUGAGAGGACGACCAGCCACACUGGGACUGAGACACGGCCCAGACUCCUACGGGAGGCAGCAGUGGGGAAUUUUGGACAAUGGGGGCAACCCUGAUCCAGCCAUGCCGCGUGCGGGAAGAAGGCCUUCGGGUUGUAAACCGCUUUUGUUCGGGAAGAAAUCCUCUGGGCUAAUACCCCGGGGGGAUGACGGUACCGGAAGAAUAAGCACCGGCUAACUACGUG
RNAcentral lists this ribosomal RNA (484 nucleotides) under uncultured bacterium. Its description in RNAcentral is "partial 16S ribosomal RNA". It matches the Rfam family "Bacterial small subunit ribosomal RNA", at positions 28 to 507 of the family's 1533-position model. The record is from RNAcentral.